GAUGAAGAACGCAGCGAAAUGCGAUACGUAAUGUGAAUUGCAGAAUUCAGUGAAUCAUCGAGUCUUUGAACGCACAUUGCGCCCCCUGGUAUUCCGGGGGGCAUGCCUGUCCGAGCGUCAUUGCUGCCCUCAAGCACGGCUUGUGUGUUGGGCCUCCGUCCUCCUCCCGGGGGACGGGCCCGAAAGGCAGCGGCGGCACCGCGUCCGGUCCUCGAGCGUAUGGGGCUUCGUCACCCGCUCUUGUAGGCCCGGCCGGCGCUUGCCGACACAUCAAUCUUUUUUCCAGGUUGACCUCGGAUCAGGUAGGGAUACCCGCUGAACUUAAGCAUAUCAAUAAGCCGGAGG
RNAcentral lists this unclassified non-coding RNA (345 nucleotides) under soil metagenome. Its description in RNAcentral is "partial contains 5.8S ribosomal RNA, internal transcribed spacer 2, and large subunit ribosomal RNA". The stretch from base 1 to 120 matches the Rfam family "5.8S ribosomal RNA", at positions 35 to 154 of the family's 154-position model. The record is from RNAcentral.